This is a non-coding RNA of Triticum urartu, 135 nucleotides long. Lineage: Eukaryota; Viridiplantae; Streptophyta; Magnoliopsida; Poales; Poaceae. The record is from Rfam.
GGAGCACUCCCUCCGUCCCAAAAUUUUUAUCUUAAAUUUGUCUAAAUACAGAUGUAUCUAGUUAAGUUUUAAUGUUAUAUAUAUCCGUAUCUAGAGAAAUCUACGACAAGAAUUUUGGGACUGAGGGAAUAUUAA